This 174-nucleotide ribosomal RNA is filed under the name Vibrio parahaemolyticus. RNAcentral describes it as "partial 16S ribosomal RNA". It matches the Rfam family "Bacterial small subunit ribosomal RNA", at positions 1 to 156 of the family's 1533-position model. Lineage: Bacteria; Pseudomonadati; Pseudomonadota; Gammaproteobacteria; Vibrionales; Vibrionaceae. The record is from RNAcentral.
UUAAAUUGAAGAGUUUGAUCAUGGCUCAGAUUGAACGCUGGCGGCAGGCCUAACACAUGCAAGUCGAGCGGAAACGAGUUAUCUGAACCUUCGGGGGACGAUAACGGCGUCGAGCGGCGGACGGGUGAGUAAUGCCUAGGAAAUUGCCCUGAUGUGGGGGAUAACCAUUGGAAA